UACAGAGGUCUCAAGCGUUGUUCGGAUUCAUUGGGCGUAAAGGGUGCGUAGGCGGCGCGGUAAGUCGGGUGUGAAAGCCCGGGGCUCAACCCCGGCAGUGCACCCGAAACGACGAUGCUAGAGUGCUGGAGAGGCGGGUGGAAUUCCUGGUGUAGAGGUGAAAUUCGUAGAUAUCAGGAGGAACACCGGUGGCGAAGGCGACCCGCUGGCCAGCGACUGACGCUGAGACGCGAAAGCGUGGGGAGCAAACAGG
RNAcentral lists this ribosomal RNA (253 nucleotides) under uncultured bacterium. RNAcentral's name for it is "partial 16S ribosomal RNA". It matches the Rfam family "Bacterial small subunit ribosomal RNA", at positions 524 to 776 of the family's 1533-position model. The record is from RNAcentral.